AGGGAAACCGAGUCUUAACUGGGCGUUAAGUUGCAGGGUAUAGACCCGAAACCCGGUGAUCUAGCCAUGGGCAGGUUGAAGGUUGGGUAACACUAACUGGAGGACCGAACCGACUAAUGUUGAAAAAUUAGCGGAUGACUUGUGGCUGGGGGUGAAAGGCCAAUCAAACCGGGAGAUAGCUGGUUCUCCCCGAAAGCUAUUUAGGUAGCGCCUCGUGAACUCAUCUUCGGGGGUAGAGCACUGUUUCGGCUAGGGGGUCAUCCCGACUUACCAACCCGAUGCAAACUGCGAAUACCGAAGAAUGUUAUCACGAGAGACACACGGCGGGUGCUAACGUCCGUCGUGAAGAGGGAAACAACCCAGACCGCCAGCUAAGGUCCCAAAGUCACAGUUAAGUGGGAAACGAUGUGGGAAGGCUCAGACAGCCAGGAUGUUGGCUUAGAAGCAGCCAUCAUUUAAAGAAAGCGUAAUAGCUCACUGGUCGAGUCGGCCUGCGCGGAAGAUGUAACGGGGCUAAACUGUGCACCGAAGCUGCGGCAGCGACGCUUAUGCGUUGUUGGGUAGGGGAGCGUUCUGUAAGCCUGCGAAGGUGUCCUGUGAGGGAUGCUGGAGGUAUCAGAAGUGCGAAUGCUGACAUAAGUAACGAUAAUGCGGGUGAAAAGCCCGCUCGCCGGAAGACCAAGGGUUCCUGUCCAACGUUAAUCGGGGCAGGGUGAGUCGACCCCUAAGGCGAGGCCGAAAGGCGUAGUCGAUGGGAAACGGGUUAAUAUUCCCGUACUUGGUGUUACUGCGAAGGGGGGACGGAGAAGGCUAUGUUGGCCGGGCGACGGUUGUCCCGGUUUAAGCGUGUAGGCUGGUUUUCCAGGCAAAUCCGGAAAAUCAAG
Molecule: ribosomal RNA, 884 nt
Filed under: Salmonella enterica subsp. enterica serovar Kentucky
Lineage: Bacteria; Pseudomonadati; Pseudomonadota; Gammaproteobacteria; Enterobacterales; Enterobacteriaceae
Description: partial 23S ribosomal RNA
Rfam family: Bacterial large subunit ribosomal RNA
Source: RNAcentral